Molecule: ribosomal RNA, 548 nt
Filed under: uncultured Glomeromycotina
Lineage: Eukaryota; Fungi; Glomeromycota
Description: SSU rRNA
Rfam family: Eukaryotic small subunit ribosomal RNA
Source: RNAcentral
UUGGAGGGCAAGUCUGGUGCCAGCAGCCGCGGUAAUUCCAGCUCCAAUAGCGUAUAUUAAAGUUGUUGCAGUUAAAAAGCUCGUAGUUGAAUUUCGGGAUCAAAUUGUCGGUCGUGCCUCGGUACGCACUGGUAUUAUUGGUUCCUACCUUCUGAAGAACCGCGAUGUCAUUAAUUUGGUGUCGUGGGGAAUCAGGACUGUUACUUUGAAAAAAUUAGAGUGUUUAAAGCAGGCUUACGCUUGAAUACAUUAGCAUGGAAUAAUGAAAUAGGACGUUUGAUUCUAUUUUGUUGGUUUCCAGGAUUGACGUAAUGAUUAAUAGGGAUAGUUGGGGGCAUUAGUAUUCAAUUGUCAGAGGUGAAAUUCUUGGAUUUAUUGAAGACUAACUACUGCGAAAGCAUUUGCCAAGGAUGUUUUCAUUAAUCAAGAACGAAAGUUAGGGGAUCGAAGACGAUCAGAUACCGUCGUAGUCUUAACCAUAAACUAUGCCGACUAGGGAUCGGAUGAUGUUAAUUUUUUAAUGACUCAUUCGGCGCCUUACGGGAAAC